CAGCAGUCACAGCCCAACUCUUUGUUAAAUCGAUCGCAGAUCCCCCUCUAUGUCAAACCGAUGGUGUUUCGGUGCGUUGAGUGUCGACCGGUGCCAACUCCACCUCCUCCGCGCGUUGAUGAGGGCGGUUUUUCUCGCCGCUAUCCAGUCUUCCUGCCUUCUGUUGCUUUCGCUUUUGUUUUCGGGGGCCUUCCGCCUCUGGUGGAGUUACUAGCAGCGUGGGCCUGGACGGUUGCGUUGGCUGUCGUGAUUGUUUGAGUCUUCCGGAGUUUUCGCUUUUCGUGUUCUUUUUUUUUCCUGCUCCUGGAAGCUGGAUCGUUUCGUUGUUGACGGCUAUGCCGUGGUUUGGUGGUUUUAUUGGUAACUGGUUCAUUGGUUGUGUUUUUUUUUUCUCUCUCGAGAGAAGUGAGAAUUGCUAGGGGAGAUGGGUUGCGGUGGUGGUCCUUGGGUUUUGGCUUUGUUGAGUACAGAGGCAUUAAUCUUCUAUUACAAAGAAAAACAAUAGCAACCGCGACCUGGAGGAAGGGAGAGACAGAAGAAGAUUAAAAUUAUCGACCUUGACUGACUAUGGAAAGGUUUGCCAUUCUCGCAGGUCUAACGACCAUUUCAAAGCUCAAUCCAGGAUUGUUCGAGGUAAAUGGAGCAGGACAUGGGAAUCGAAGCAUUGGAAGCCAUGCUCAUGGAUAUGAUGGGUUUAGAGGUUAGGCUGGCUGGCUGUUCUAUCAUCAUGGUGCUGUGUUUUUCUCUCUUCCCCGGAGUUUGGUCAUGUUCUUAUGCUAUGCUCCUUUAGUUAUGCUGUUUUGGAUUCUUAGCUCGACCAGUUUUUUAUGACCAUGAAUAACAUUAAUUACCUAUCUUUUGCAGGGAAACUAAUGCUGCUGACUGCACUGCCACCCCAAAUCCAAAUUGUGGAGCAGCCACUGUUAUGGAAAUGGAUCAAGGAGGUUUACUUUGGAUCCAGGAAACUUAGCGAGAAGUCAAGGUCCAAAACAAUGAGACCAGAUAGAGAUUUAGUGUCUUUAGACUGAGCAUCCAAAACAUAAUGUAUUAUACCAGACCUAACUCUUUUGAGUUUGAUUAUGCGUCAAGCUCAAAUAAUUAUAAGCAAAUGAGAUCUAAAAAAAAAUAAAAAUGGUAUAAGGUAUAAUUCCUAAAACAAUCUAAAAAUUAAAAAAGAAACUAAAUAAAAAAGGAUUGGGUUGUCAAAAGGUGAAUUAAUAAAAAGAAAAAAAAUAAACAAAUGAAA
This is a long non-coding RNA of Populus trichocarpa (black cottonwood), 1246 nucleotides long. RefSeq lists it as uncharacterized. NCBI's taxonomy places the organism in Eukaryota, Viridiplantae, Streptophyta, Magnoliopsida, Malpighiales, Salicaceae. The transcript is spliced from 3 exons. The record is from RefSeq and is a predicted model, not a curated record.